CCCUUAGAUGUUCUGGGCCGCACGCGUGUUACAAUCGGGAGUACAACAAGAUUGCAAAUCCUAGUGGAUGAGUGGUUCUUCGAAAUUUUCUGAAGACUGGGAUAGUUGAUUGAAAUUAUUCAACUCAAACGAGGAAUUCCUUGUAAUUGUAAUUCAUUAUAUUGUAAUGAAUACGUCCCUGCCCUUUGUACACACCGCCCGUCGCUCCUACCGAUUGAACGAUCCGGUGAAUUAUUUGGAGUAGCUCUGGAAGUUGCAGAACUUCCUAUGUCACGAAAUUUUGUAAACCUUAUCGUUUAGAGGAAGGAAAAGUCGUAACA
This 320-nucleotide ribosomal RNA is filed under the name uncultured eukaryote. Its description in RNAcentral is "partial 18S ribosomal RNA". It matches the Rfam family "Eukaryotic small subunit ribosomal RNA", at positions 1470 to 1796 of the family's 1831-position model. The record is from RNAcentral.